CCCUUAGAUGUUCUGAACCGCACGCGUGUUACACUGAUGCAUUCAACGAGCUUUACCUUGGCCGAGAGGCCUGGGAAAUCUUUUUAGCACGCAUCGUGAUAGGGAUUGAUUAUUGCAAUUAUUAAUCAUGAACGAGGAAUUCCUAGUAAACGCAUUUCAUCAAAAUGCAUUGAUUACGUCCCUGCCCUUUGUACACACCGCCCGUCGCACCUACCGAUUGAGUGGUCCGGUGAAGUCUCGAGAUUGUGGCAAUCUCCUUUAUUGGAGUUUGACUGCGAGAACUUGCCUAAACCUUAUCACUUAGAGGAAGGUGAAGUCGUAACA
This 324-nucleotide ribosomal RNA is filed under the name uncultured eukaryote. Its description in RNAcentral is "partial 18S ribosomal RNA". It matches the Rfam family "Eukaryotic small subunit ribosomal RNA", at positions 1470 to 1796 of the family's 1831-position model. The record is from RNAcentral.